RNAcentral lists this transfer RNA (66 nucleotides) under Chlorophorus simillimus. RNAcentral describes it as "tRNA-Ser". Lineage: Eukaryota; Metazoa; Arthropoda; Insecta; Coleoptera; Cerambycidae. The record is from RNAcentral.
AAUCAAUGAACUUGUACAAGUAUGUAUUUUGAAAAUACAAAAAAGAAGAAAAGCUUCUAUUGAUUU